CUCGUAGGUGGCCAACUAAGUCAUGCGUGAAAUCCCUCGGCUUAACCGGGGAACUGCGUCUGAUACUGGAUGGCUUGAAUCCGGGAGAGGGAUGCGGAAUUCCAGGUGUAGCGGUGAAAUGCGUAGAUAUCUGGAGGAACACCGGUGGCGAAGGCGGCAUCCUGGACCGGCAUUGACACUGAGGAGCGAAAGCCAGGGAGCGAA
Molecule: ribosomal RNA, 204 nt
Filed under: uncultured bacterium
Lineage: Bacteria
Description: partial 16S ribosomal RNA
Rfam family: Bacterial small subunit ribosomal RNA
Source: RNAcentral